AUGAAUGAGAGGCAAAGAGACUUCCAUCUUAAUCAAGCCUUGCUAUUUUGUUUUUCAUUUUCGUAUGCAGCCAAAGCUAAUCCUGCCUGCUUCUACACGAAAGUGACGGAGCUUCCUGACCUGAACUACCAAUUAGGAGAAUGGGUGUCCCAGAGGGAGCCUGAGGCUGUGACCUCCUCCCACCCGCAGCGAAGCAGCACAGAGUCGGAGGAACCCAACACAUUCUUCCUCAAGGUCUCCAAAGGGACAUGUGAAUCUUCGGAAUUGGGCAUGUGUGAACUAUUAAAGUUCUUCUGAAGGCCUGGGAGGUUCGUACCUUUCACGUGCACCGAAGCAGCCCCUUCAGAGCCCUUUCUUCAGGAAGCGGUCACUGCCAAUAGAAAAUGUGACUGGUAGUAGACGGGAUGGUCUUCCUAUUUCCACAGUCCCCAUCUUAGCCCCUGGAUUCUGGAGAGGAGGGAAUUCAAGGUCAUGGGGGCCUCAGUGAG
RNAcentral lists this long non-coding RNA (488 nucleotides) under Felis catus (domestic cat). RNAcentral describes it as "lncRNA (ENSFCAG00000046578.2)". Lineage: Eukaryota; Metazoa; Chordata; Mammalia; Carnivora; Felidae. The record is from RNAcentral.